GGGGUCCUAGCUCAGCGGUAGAGCACCCGGGAAACCGGGAGGUCCGGGGUUCGACUCCCUGUGACUCCUCCA
This 72-nucleotide transfer RNA is filed under the name Planctomycetota bacterium. Its description in RNAcentral is "tRNA-OTHER". It matches the Rfam family "tRNA". Rfam says of the family: Transfer RNA (tRNA) molecules are approximately 80 nucleotides in length. Their secondary structure includes four short double-helical elements and three loops (D, anti-codon, and T loops). Lineage: Bacteria; Pseudomonadati; Planctomycetota. The record is from RNAcentral.